RNAcentral lists this ribosomal RNA (400 nucleotides) under uncultured Alphaproteobacteria bacterium. RNAcentral's name for it is "bacterial SSU rRNA". It matches the Rfam family "Bacterial small subunit ribosomal RNA", at positions 9 to 426 of the family's 1533-position model. Lineage: Bacteria; Pseudomonadati; Pseudomonadota; Alphaproteobacteria. The record is from RNAcentral.
GAGUUUGAUCCUGGCUCAGAACGAACGCUGGCGGCAUGCCUAACACAUGCAAGUCGAACGGGAUCCGGCUCUUCGGGGCUGGUGAGAGUGGCGGACGGGUGAGUAUCGCGUGGGAACCUGCCCAUUGGUCUGGGAUAACCGCGGGAAACUGCGGCUAAUACCGGAUGCGCCCGAGAGGGGAAAGAUUGAUUGCCGAUGGAGGGGCCCGCGUCGGAUUAGGUAGUUGGUGGGGUAACGGCCUACCAAGCCUGCGAUCCGUAGCUGGUCUGAGAGGAUGAUCAGCCACACUGGGACUGAGAUACGGCCCAGACUCCUACGGGAGGCAGCAGUGGGGAAUAUUGGACAAUGGGGGCAACCCUGAUCCAGCAAUGCCGCGUGAGUGAUGAAGGCCUUCGGUUGU